AAACUGGAGAGUUUGAUCCUGGCUCAGAACAAACGCUGGCGGCGUGCCUAACACAUGCAAGUCGUACGAGAAAAUUGGCUUCGGCCGAUGAGUAAAGUGGCGCACGGGUGAGUAACGCGUGGAUAAUCUGCCCCUCAGUUGGGAAUAACUCAUCGAAAGGUGAGCUAAUACCGAAUAAUACUGUGAGACCCCGGUCGAUCAGUCAAAGGAAGCCUCUGCUUGCAAGCUUUUGCUGAAGGAUGAGUCCGCGUACCAUUAGCUUGUUGGUAGGGUAAUGGCCUACCAAGGCG
Molecule: ribosomal RNA, 290 nt
Filed under: Syntrophus sp. (in: bacteria)
Lineage: Bacteria; Pseudomonadati; Thermodesulfobacteriota; Syntrophia; Syntrophales; Syntrophaceae
Description: Syntrophus sp. (in: Bacteria) partial 16S ribosomal RNA
Rfam family: Bacterial small subunit ribosomal RNA
Source: RNAcentral